ACCCUUAAUUUUUCCCGUUGCAUGGGGUUGCGACUACUUUUUCCAGUUGCACCCUUAAUAUUUCUCGUUGCAUGUUAUUGUUAAAUACCUUCUCCAUCUCAUAUUUAAUUCAUGUGCUAAUCAGCUGACUAAAGAAAUAAAAUUAAUGUGCAAAUUACCUCGUAUUCUACGUUAGUGCACAUACAUGAUUUGUGCAAAUUUGAAACUCCAAAUGUGCAGUUCAUAAAAAAUAAUAGAUGACUAAAAAACACACACCAACCAUUUGUGAUAAACAAAAUCGGAUGAACUAAAUAAACGAAAUAUAAAAGAGCAAACACAUAUAAUGUGCUUUAUUAGUUAGUUGCAUGUGAAGAAAAGAAAAGAAACGACAGAAGAUAACUAAGACAAUAAAAAACAAAAGAUGAAGCAAGGUAUAAAUAAGAAAUAAAAAUAAUAAAGAAGAAAAAGAAGACAACAGGAAAAUAGACAUGACGAAGAGUCGAACCCAGAACCUAUCUGCAAGAGCCAGACGAUGCAAAACACAGAUCCAGC
Molecule: long non-coding RNA, 531 nt
Filed under: Brachypodium distachyon (stiff brome)
Lineage: Eukaryota; Viridiplantae; Streptophyta; Magnoliopsida; Poales; Poaceae
Description: long non-coding RNA (BDIS_LNC005990)
Source: RNAcentral